GCACGUACAGAUGGACACGAAUAGGCUUCGGCUUAGCGUCUUAGCAGGCGAUUACUCCACUGCUCUCGAAGCGAGUAGUGGUAUUUCGCGAAUUGUAAUUUCAGCACGAGCGGGGUUAAAUCCUUUGCAGACGACUUAGAUGUGCGAAAGGGUCCUGUAAGCAGUAGAGUAGCCUUGUUGUUACGAUCUGCUGAGGGUAAGCCCUCCUUCGCCUCGAUUUCCUCAUGAACUCCAGCGGCCGACGGCCGCGAGCACACGAGGGUUAGGGGACUGCCGCGGGCAGGGACUUGAGGGGCCGCGCCGACGAUUCGGUGCGGCCAAGUCUCGUCUCGACGACGCAAGUACCCUGGAAAGGAUAUUGCGGACGGCCGUGACGGCCAAGUGCGUGUCCGCGACGCCAGGUACCCUGGAAGGGACGCGGUCGAGGCCCGAGACGUGCAACGCAGAACGAAGUGCCCGAGUGCGCCGGGUACCCUGCAAUAGGCUUUAGAGGGCGAGGCGCCAGGUACCCCGGAAAGGGCCUGGGGUGGCCAAGUACCCUGGAGAGCGAUUCCCUAGUACCCUGGAAAGGAGAUGGAUGCUGAGCCCCCUGGAAUGGCCAAGUACCCUGGAGCAGAAUUCCCGAGUACCCCGGAAAGCGAUUCCCAAGUACCCUGGAGCAGAAUUCCCGAGUACCCCGGAAAGCGAUUCCCAGGUACCCUGGAAAGCAAUUCCUACGCACCCUGGAGCAGAAUUCCCGAGUACCCCGGAAAGCGAUUCCCAAGUACCCUGGAAAGCAGUUCCCAAGUACCCUGGAGCAGAAUUCCCAGGUACCCUGGAAAGCAAUUCCUACGCACCCUGGAGCAGAAUUCCCGAGUACCCCGGAAAGCGAUUCCCAAGUACCCUGGAAAGCAAUUCCUACGCACCCUAGGGCGGAAUUCCCAGGUACCCUGGAAAGCAAUUCCUACGCACCCUAGGGCGGAAUUCCCAAGUACCCUAGGGUAGAAGCCUUAAGUACCCUAUAAAGCAGUCUUUAGGUACCUUAGAAAGGAGAUCCUAAGUGUAAAUAUUUUUUCGGUAAAUAAAAUAGACAUAGAAGUAGCUGUAGUAGAGAAGUAGUAGGAUUAGAAGCGUUACUUAUACUAAGGCCUAUAUUAUAAAACUGUUAAAUAGGGUACUAGAAAAUAAAAGAGUUAUUAAGGGACUAUACAAAGGAGGUUAGAUUAAGAGGGGAGCUUUUUCUUAAAAGGUAAGUAGUAUUCUACUUUUAUACAGUCACCUCUCUUAAUAAGGGUAGAAGAUAAGAUAGAAAUAGGCUAUCUAUACAGGUAAGGAUAUAUAGUAACGCCUACAUAGUAUAAAGAAUAGAGUGUCUAAGUAUAGUAGUAAAAGUAAAUAGUACUAAGACUAGAAUAAUAUAUACUUAUAUAUUAGAUUCUAAGACGUAUAUACAAGAGAGAAGCUUUAAUGCUUAUAGUAGACUAUAGGUUUAUAAAGAAUAGAGAUAAGUAAAGACGGAGAUAAAGGCAGACCUCUAAAGGAAAGCUACUUUAUGGAAAGGAAGUCUAGGUACCCUAGGAAGGCCAAGUACCCUGGAAAGAACGUCCUAGGUACCCUGGAAAGGCCAAGUACCCUGGAAAAAGUCCCAGGUACCCUGGAAAGGCCAAGUACCCUGGAAAAAGUCCCAGGUACCCUGGAAAGGCCAAGUACCCUGGAAAAAGUCCCAGGUACCCUGGAAAGGCCAAGUACCCUGGAAAAAGUCCCAGGUACCCUGGAAAGGCCAAGUACCCUGGAAAAAGUCCCAGGUACCCUGGAAAGGCCAAGUACCCUGGAAAAAGUCCCAGGUACCCUGGAAAGGCCAAGUACCCUGGAAAAAGUCCCAGGUACCCUGGAAAGGGACUUUCUACCUUGGCGCCUAGGCUAUAAGUAGGUAGUAUAGGGCUGUAGAGCGCCUCUAGGGGAGCCUAGCGCACCAGGCCCUAUAGCUAUAGCGCCUACAGCGGGCGAGAAAACCGCUGCGGAAGUUCAAAAAACCGGCGGUUGGACUGCGGGGUGGGCGCCCGCGGGCUGCCCGGCACGGCGGGCUUAUAGAGCUCGCUGCGGCGGUUACAGCGCCGUAAGGCCCUAUACGGUAGGCACUAUAGCGCUGGAGAUACGGCGGCCCAAAGCCGCAGGUACCCUGGAAGGCAAUUGUCAAGUACCCUGGAAGGGAAAAAGAGGUGGGCCGCAGGGCGCCGCCGAGCAGCUGGUGGCGGCGACGACGUGGGCGGUCGACGGGCAUACCUGGGUUUUGCGUGCGGGAUCGGAUAAGGUUUUGGUGGCCGUGAGUCGAUUUUUUUGUUUUCCCAUACAAAUCUUUUUUUCGGGAAAUGUUUUUUCGGGACAGAAGCAGGUGGAGCGGGGCCGGGGCGCAAAAAGUGUCGCAGGGCCUAUGAGAAGAGAGCGAGUGCAGCCAACCGGCGGCACAGCGCAACUGCUCCACCCGCUGAGGGUGCGCGCUGUAGAAAUACAGCGCAACCGUCCCAUAUCUUAAUGACUGCUGCGUGGCGUCUCUCUGAACAGCCUCGCAGGUAUCUUCCUCGGUGGCGGGGAGUUCGUAGCAGCAGUCGACGCCCACUGUGGUGCACCGCUAAGGCGGCGCAUCAUCCUGGGAGUGCCCGGAGGGUUUGGGGGUCACGAGCCCCUAGACCCGAAGGAUGGGUUCUGUGGAUGAAUGGCCGUUGGCUAUACUUACACUGAGCAUCGGGAGAGAAACGCCCGCGGUCGGACGCUGAAUAGCUGAAGCCGCGGGGCCAGUUGCUCCUCUUGGGACCCCCCAACCACGCAACCCCCCCGGGGGCACAGCGCGGUGAACGGGGUCCUGGGGAAUUCAGAGGGGGAAAGCGGAAGCUUCCUCUGCGCCUACGGCCUAGCCGGACGGCCGCAGGGGGGGCGCGAGCGCUGUUUCGGCAGCGUGAGCGAUUCCGGUGACUAAAACGCUUCGGCCGCUGCUUG
This 2973-nucleotide unclassified non-coding RNA is filed under the name Colletotrichum truncatum. RNAcentral's name for it is "partial contains 26S ribosomal RNA, 26S-18S ribosomal RNA intergenic spacer, and 18S ribosomal RNA". The stretch from base 1 to 222 matches the Rfam family "Eukaryotic large subunit ribosomal RNA", at positions 3171 to 3401 of the family's 3401-position model. Lineage: Eukaryota; Fungi; Ascomycota; Sordariomycetes; Glomerellales; Glomerellaceae. The record is from RNAcentral.